UAUUUUUAUAGUAUAAAAAUUACAUUCGACUUCCAAUCGAAAAAUCUAUUAAUAGUAAAAAUAU
This 64-nucleotide transfer RNA is filed under the name unidentified. RNAcentral describes it as "Exostira schroederi tRNA-Gly". The record is from RNAcentral.